ACGAAGGGGGCUAGCGUUGUUCGGAUUUACUGGGCGUAAAGCGCACGUAGGCGGAUAUUUAAGUCAGUGGUGAAAUCCCGGGGCUCAACCCCGGAACUGCCUCUGAUACUGGGUAUCUUGAGUCCGGAAGAGGUGAGUGGAAUUCCGAGUGUAGAGGUGAAAUUCGUAGAUAUUCGGAGGAACACCAGUGGCGAAGGCGGCUCACUGGUCCGGUACUGACGCUGAGGUGCGAAAGCGUGGGGAGCAAACAG
This 251-nucleotide ribosomal RNA is filed under the name uncultured prokaryote. Its description in RNAcentral is "partial 16S rRNA". It matches the Rfam family "Bacterial small subunit ribosomal RNA", at positions 525 to 775 of the family's 1533-position model. The record is from RNAcentral.